Molecule: RNA transcript, 6749 nt
Organism: Phycodurus eques (leafy seadragon)
Lineage: Eukaryota; Metazoa; Chordata; Actinopteri; Syngnathiformes; Syngnathidae
Gene name: mitogen-activated protein kinase kinase kinase 12-like
Exons: 15
Source: RefSeq, a predicted model, not a curated record
UUACUGACUACAACGUGAGCUACACUCGCCGUAUAUAAUCCCGAGUGUGGCCGCGUAGCAUCCUCAGAGGAGGGGAGAUGGAAAGGGAGGCGUAAGGAAGCAAAACAAGCAUUAAAAAAAAAAAAAAAAAAAACGGAUUUCAAAGCGAGGAGUUGGAGCAACGUCACCGUCAAUGAAGGUUGGAUGCUGAGGACGAGGAUGCGACUAGCUUGAUUCGGAGGGGGGGGGGGGGGCGGGGGUGGACGCUUAAUAAACACCAUUUACUCGUAUUUUUAUCAUUAUCCGUUAAGUGAAAGACUCUUCAGGGAUGGACGUGAGCUCUCAGCACUGAGGCUGCCUGCUCGCCAGUUGUUCCCCCAUGGCCCUCAUUCACGAGUCCCGUGCCCCAUCUCCAUCUCUCUCCGGCUUCAACACCCCUCUCUCCGAAACCCCGUCCUUUCGCCGGCUCGAUGCCGAAACUCCCUGCACCCCUGAAAUGGACCUGACACCGACCCAGUGCGUCCUUCGCAACGUCCUCUCUAUAGACACGGGGGGCACGGUAGAGCCGAGAGGAGGAGGAGGAGAGGAUGGACCGACUUCCGGGCCCCACCAGACGCCAGGCGAGGAGCAACACAAUCACUUUGACAACAGCGUCCUCAAGCUGCACGAUCACGACGGGGGUCCCACCAGGACGGAGGGAGAGGGGACGGAGGCGGACGGCAGCGCUGUGCGGCGCGAGGCGGGCAACGCUAGGCUGCAGUGCCAGUCCAAUGGAGGAGGCGGGGGCUUUCUGGAGGGCUUGUUUGGCUGCCUGCGACCUGUCUGGACUAUGAUCGGGAAGGCGUAUUCCACGGAACACAAACACGACCUGGACGAGGCGUGGGAAGUCCCCUUCGAGGAGAUAUCGGACCUGCAGUGGGUGGGCAGUGGCGCCCAGGGUGCUGUCUUCCUGGGCAAGUUGCACGGGCAGGAGGUGGCGGUGAAGAAAGUGCGGAACAUCAAGGAGACGGACAUCAAGCACCUCCGCAAGCUCAAACACCCCAACAUCAUCACUUUCAAAGGAAUUUGCACCCAGGCUCCGUGCUACUGCAUACUCAUGGAGUACUGCGCCCAGGGCCAGCUGUAUGAGGUGCUGAGAGCGGGCAGGAAGAUCACGCCAUCACUCCUCAUGGACUGGGCCAUGGGCGUCGCCGGCGGGAUGAACUACCUUCACCUGCACAAGAUCAUCCACAGAGACCUCAAAUCGCCAAAUAUUCUUAUCACAUAUGAUGAUGCGGUGAAGAUCUCUGAUUUCGGCACGUCUAAGGAGCUCAGCGACAAGAGCACCAAGAUGUCCUUUGCCGGUACGGUGGCCUGGAUGGCCCCCGAGGUCAUACGGAAUGAGCCGGUCUCAGAGAAAGUGGAUAUUUGGUCUUUCGGCGUUGUGCUGUGGGAGAUGCUGACAGGAGAGGUACCCUACAAGGACGUGGACUCCUCUGCUAUCAUCUGGGGAGUGGGCAACAACAGCCUGCAGCUGCCCGUACCCGACAGCUGUCCCGACAGCUUCAAACUGCUGUUGAGGCAAAGCUGGAAUUGCAAACCAAGAAACAGACCUUCGUUCCGACAGAUUCUCCUACAUCUGGACAUCGCUUCAGCGGACAUCUUGUCCACCCCACAAGAAACCUACUUCCAGUCACAGGCCGAGUGGAGGGAUGAGGUCAGGCAUCACUUUGAGAAGAUCAAGUCCGAGGGAACGUGUCUUCACCGAUUGGAUGAGGAGCUCAUCAAACGGCGCAGGGAGGAGCUGAGACAUGCGCUCGACAUCCGGGAGCACUACGAGAGGAAACUGGAGCGAGCCAACAAUCUCUACAUGGAGCUCAACGCUAUCAUGCUGCAGCUGGAGCUCAAGGAGAAGGAGCUGCUCAAGAGGGAGCAGUCACUGGACAAGAAGUACCCGGGCUGCUUCAAGCACCACAGCUCCAGACAAUCGGCCUCCUCAAACUCCAUGGAGAAACUCAUGAAGAAACGUAACGUGCCUCAGAAGCUGCCAGUGCACAGCAAGAGGCCAGACUUGCUCAAGUCAGAAGUCAUCCUUCCCAAACUGGACUCCUCCAUGACCCAGGUGACUAUUCCCACCAAGGGCUCCACAUCGCCCGGCCGCUCCCGCCGAGGGAAGCCACGCUACAGGAAGGCGGGCAAAGGCAGCAGCAGCGAGUUGGCUCAGCUGAAGGCCACGCUGUCUUCGUCUUUGGCUAUGAUAAGCGCCACCACGUCGGUCCCCAGCAGCAAGCAACGUCUGGACGCCAGCGCCGCGCUCAGGGGACUGCAGCACGACUUGCUGCUCAAGAAGAUGUCCUCCUCCAGCCCCGACCUCAUCUCCACCACGAUGGAGGCAGAGGGACGCAGGAAGGGCCAGCCCGGUCCCGGCCUGGACCGGGCGGGCAGCCAGAGCGCCUCGGCCGGGUUGGAAGAGGGCGGCCCGGACACCCGCCCCGACGUGAGCGCCGGGACGGAAGAACUAGCGGAAACGCCCCCGCGCAGCGACACGCCCAGUGAAGACGCCGCUUCCGUCCCAUUUGCUAGCAGCCCCGACUCGCCAGGCGGCAGGGGGGCGGCGGCGGGGCGACCGUCGUCCACCGGGAGCCCCCGUGUUCCUCAGGACGGCGAGGAGAAGGAGGAGGGCGCGGUGAUCACGCGCUCGCCCAGAAGUCAACGCCUCACGCCAUCAGCGCUGCUCUACAGAGCGGCAGUCACACGCAGUCAGAGACGUGGCGUGUCGUCCGAGGAAGAGGAGGGAGAGGUGGACAGCGAGGUGGAGCUGCCCACAAGAUGGAGGCCAGCUAGCAUCAGCAAAUGCCAGUCGCUGUCCACGUUCAGCUCUGAGAACCUGUCGGUGUCAGACGGCGAGGAGGGCAACACCACAGACCACUCGCACAGCGGCACGCCCGACGUGGUCAGCACCAACACGGACGAGCGCCUGGACGACAAGAGCGACGAUCUCCUCUCGCAGGGCUCCGAGAUCCCCGCCGACCCCUGCGACCCCGCCCACGCCGCCUCCGACGGCCUGUCCGAGAAGGAGGCUGCCGUCCGCCACGUCAGGACGCAGCUCGCUGCUCACGACCACAACUACGAGCAUCAUGGAAAAGUCAAAAGAAAUCAGCCAAGAUAUCGGGAAAAGAAUUGUGGACUUGUGCAAGUCUGGUUCAUCCUUGGGUGCAAUCUCCAGAUGCCUGAAGUUGCGAGGUUCAUCUGUUCAAACAAUUAUACGCAAGUAUAAAUACCAUGGGAAUGUCCAGCCAUUAUGCCGCUCAAGAUGGAGUUGUGUGUCCCAGAGAUUAACGUGCUUUUGAUCUCAAAUUUGCAUAUCAACCCAAAAACAAAAGCGGAAGACUUUGUGAAGAUGCUGGCUGAAGCUGCUAAGAGUGUGUCGUUAUCCACAGUGAAACGAGUACUGUACUGACAUGAGCUGAAAGGACUCUCCGCCAGAAAGAAGCCAUUGCUUCAAAAGAAACAUAAGAAAGCAGUUACAGUUUGCAGAUGCAUACAGGGACAAUUUUUGGAGACAUGUCCUGUGGUUUGACCAUAGCAAGCAUUGUUACGUUUGGAGGAAAAAGGAGGGACGCUUGCGAGCCCGAGAACACCAUCCCAACUUUGAAAUAUAGGGUUGACAACCUCAUGUUGUGGCGUUGUUUCCUAUAGGAGGCACUGGUGCACUUCACAAAAUAGAUGGCGUCAUGAGGAAAGAACAUGUGGAAAUAUUGAAGCAACAUCAAGACAUCAGCCAGCAAAUGGGUUUUCCAAAUGGACAAUGGCCUUAAGCAUACUGCCAAACCGGUUACAAAGUGGCUUUAGGAUAACAAAGUCAAUGUUUCGGAGGGGCCAUCACAAAGCCCUGAUGUUAGUCCAACUGAAAAUGUAUGAGCAGACCUGAAAAGGCAUCUGCGAGUAAGGCAGCCUACCAAUUUGGCUCAGUUACACCAGUUCUGUCCAGAGCAGUGUAGCCACACUUACCUUGAAAAAGUACCCUAAUUACCUGAUCUUAAAAGUAACUUAGUUACUUUGCUGAUUACUUGAUUUCAAAAGUAAGCUGGAAAAAAAGUUACUUUUGGCAGCUGCCAAGUGGCAGGAAUAUCACUUAUCCGCAGUACAAAAAAAAGCAUUAGCUUAACCGUACCCAUGACUUGGUAAUGUACACCACACGUUCCAGAAUGAUGUCAUCAACAUGAAGCAAUAACUUCAAUAUUAGUGUAGUUGAAGCCACAUUAAAUGAGCAACUUCGUGCAGAUUUGACGAGCCAACACAGUACAGUAAGUACCGCAAUGUAAAUAAGCACACCGUGCCCAGCGCACUGCCGAUUGCGCUCCGUGAAAGCAAUUUGUGCGCGCGCGUGUACGUAAAGGGGAAAGACACGCACACACCCACCACAGUAAUUUUGAUGCGAAGCGCGAGAGAGCUUUUUUUCUUACUACGUGACGUCAGCCGUGCAGCGCGUUCAACCAGCUCGCAGACGAAGUCGAGAGUUCUCACUUUUCAUUGUAAAUAUGAUUUAAGAUAUGUAUUGGAAGUCCUUCAGUGAGGCAGUCCUUACCCUCAAUGACCGAUUGGUGAUUCAAUAUGAAUAAUGAACCCACAAUGCAUUGCGUGUUUAACACGCCAGUAAACCUAUUGUUGGAUUGAAGAAGUAACUGUAGUGUAAUGACUUACUGAAACACGUGUCGCUGCCACCGCCACGCUUCACAGUAGGGAUGGUGUUAGCCAGAUGAUGAGCAGUGCCUCUUCUCCUCCAGGUAGAACGCUUGCAAUUCAGGCCAAAUAAAUUCCAUUUUGCUUUCAUCAUAUCAGAGAAAUGUGUUUCUGUGGGGUCCGAGAGUCCUUAAGGUGCCUUUUGGAAAAACUCCAAGCAGGCCGGCAUGCGCCUUUUAGUGACAAUUGGCUUCCGUCUGGCCAUUCUACCAUAAAGGCCUGAUUUGUGGAGUGCGUUAGUCAUGGUCGACCUCCUGGACGGUUCUCCUAUUUCCGCAAGGUAACGCUUGAGCUCCGCCUUAGUGACCGUAGGGUUCUUGUUCACUUCUCUGACCAAGGCCCUUCUUGCCCAGUUAUUACUCAGCUUGAUCGGACGGCCAGAUCUAGGAAGGGUCCUUCCUGGAGGUUCCAAACUUCUUCCAUUUCCGAAUACCCGAGACCACAGUGCUUUUCGGGACCUUCAAUGCUGCUGAAAUUCUUUUGUAUCCUUCCCCAGAUUUGUGCCUUGACACAAUCCGGUCUCUGAGGUCUGCAGACAAGUUCCUAGACUUCAUUGCUUGGUUUUUGCUCUGAUAUGCACUGCCAACUAUGAGAUCUUAUAUAAACAGGUGUGUGCCAUUCCAAAUGAUGUUCAAUCAACUGAAUUUACCACAGGUGGACUUUAUUCAAGUUGUAGAAGCAUCUCAAGGAAGACCAGUGGAAAUCAGAUGCACCUGAGCUUUAGUUUGAGUGUCAUGGCAAAGGGUGUCAAUACGUAUGUAUGUAUGUACCUAUUAUGUUUGAAUGUAUAAAUGUUUUUAUAAAUCUACACAAAUGUCUGAAAAUAUGUUUUUACUUUGUCAUUAUGGGAUAUUUUAGGUAGAUUUUUUUUUUUUUUGAAGAAGAAGAAAACUAUACUCAAAUCAGCUUUAGAAUAAGUGUAACAGCAAAAUGUGGAAAACGUGAAGGGGUGUGAAUACUUUCUGGUGGCACUGUAUGUAUAUUAAGAAAGAUCAUUACAAAUAUUUGUAAAAAUAAAGGACUCAUUUCUAAUGUAUGCCUGGUACUCUCGGGAACCGAUUAAACAAACAUCUCCAGCCAUAAUUUGAGAAAAUUCAUUAUCAUAAAGUCAUUAUAUAAUUGUGGAACAAAAUGGGAAUACAAGAAAAAUAUCAUUAUUGUACAAAUAAAAGACUCAUCUCCAAUAAAUGCCUGGUAAUCUCUGUGUAAAUGACUAUAGGAACUACAAGUAUAUUAUUUGAAGGCAUGAUUAUUUGUGGGACAUCUACAGUCACCUCUAAAGGUUUUUGAAUGCCAAGGUCAAUUCGUAUGUAUGCUGAAGACAUUUGGGUUUGAGAUCAAAAGAUGAAUAUGGGACAAAUGUUCAGAAUUCCAGCUUUCAUUUCAUGAUAUUUACAUCUAUAUGUGUUAAACAACUCAGGACAGAGCACCUUUUGUUUGAAGCCAUGCACUUUUCAAGUGAGCAAAGGUAUUGGAACAGACUUUAUGAAAUGAACUUAAAAGUGAAUAAACAUUUCAUAUUUGGUGGCAUAACCCUUACUUGCAAUAACUGCAUCAAGGCUGCGACCCCUUGACUUCACCAGACUGUUGCAUUCUUCAUUUGAAAUGCUUUUCUAGGCCUUUACUGCAGCCUCUUUCAGUUCUUAUUUGUUUCCGGGGGUUUCUCCCUUCCGUCCCGGACGAAAACCUUCUCCAGAGUGGUCAGGACCGCAGACUGGGCUGAAGGUUCACCUUCCAAGACAAUGACCCUUAGCACACAGCUAAAAUGACGAAGGAGUGGCUUCAGAACAAUUGUUUGAACAACUCAGUGACUGUUCUUGAAUGGCCCAGCCAGAGCCCUGACUUAAACCCAAUUGAGCAUCUCUGGAGAGACCUGAAAAUGGCUGUCCACCAACGUUGACCAUCUAAGAAAAAAAUUGACCUUGCCGUUCCAAUACUUUUGGAGGAGACUGUAUGUACGUUUCGUAGAAGGUUCUCUACGACGACUCAGACUGCGAUAGCGCCGAGCUGGACCACCCGAGCUGCGUGGACCCCAGCCAGAACUGGUG